UACGGAGGGGGCUAGCGUUGUUCGGAAUUACUGGGCGUAAAGCGAGUGUAGGUGGUCGCCGUAGUCAGGUGUGAAAGCCUUGAGCUCAACUCAAGAAAUGCACUUGAUACUGGGCGACUAGAGGACCGGAGAGGAUAGUGGAAUUCCCAGUGUAGUGGUGAAAUACGUAGAGAUUCGGAAGAACACCAGUGGCGAAGGCGGCUCACUGGACCGGCAUUGACGCUGAUGUGCGAAAGCGUGGGGAGCAAACAGG
RNAcentral lists this ribosomal RNA (253 nucleotides) under uncultured bacterium. RNAcentral describes it as "partial 16S ribosomal RNA". It matches the Rfam family "Bacterial small subunit ribosomal RNA", at positions 524 to 776 of the family's 1533-position model. The record is from RNAcentral.